Molecule: long non-coding RNA, 211 nt
Organism: Carassius auratus (goldfish)
Lineage: Eukaryota; Metazoa; Chordata; Actinopteri; Cypriniformes; Cyprinidae
Exons: 3
Source: RefSeq, a predicted model, not a curated record
UUGACGCCAGGAAUCAUAAACCUGCUUACUGACUUGACUGAGAAUGAAUGUGAAAGAUUUGCAGAUCCUCAGCACCACUGACAAACAUCUAAUCUUGUGAAAUGUGUGCAGAAGCAGCACCACAAGACUGCAGCUACGAUCAACAGAGAUCCAGCAGCAGCAGAAAUCAGCACGAUGUACAGUAAAGGAGAGAGUCACAUGACUCACAUUC